Molecule: ribosomal RNA, 1232 nt
Filed under: metagenome
Description: bacterial LSU rRNA
Rfam family: Bacterial large subunit ribosomal RNA
Source: RNAcentral
UGAAUACGAGAUGCUACGGCGUCGAAGCAGUCUAUGUCAUACUUCCAAGAAAAGCUCGCACUGUCAUAAACAAAUAAUGCCUGUACCAUAACCGACACAGGUGGGUAGGUAGAGUAUACUGAGGGGCGCGAGAUAACUCUCUCUAAGGAACUCGGCAAAAUGACUCCGUAACUUCGGGAGAAGGAGUGCCUUAUUUAUAAGGUUGCAAUAACAAGAUCCAAGCAACUGUUUAUCAAAAGCACAGGUCUCCGCUAAGUCGUAAGACGAUGUAUGGGGGCUGACGCCUGCCCAGUGCCAGAAGGUUAAAGAAGUUGGUUAGCAUUCGAAGCUGAUAACUGAAGCCCUGGUGAACGGCGGCCGUAACAAUAACGGUCCUAAGGUAGCGAAAUUCCUUGUCGGGUAAGUUCCGACCCGCACGAAAGGCGUAAUGAUUUGGAUACUGUCUCGGAGAGGGGCUCGGUGAAAUAGACUUGUCUGUGAGGAUGCGGACUACCUGCACCAGGACAGAAAGACCCUAUGAAGCUUUACUGUAACUUGAGAUUGAAAUUGGACUUUACUUGCGCAGUAUAGGUGGGAGGCGUUGAUAAUAUUCUUGCGGGAUUAUUUGAGCCAUCAGUGAGAUACCACUCUUGUAAUGUUAGAUUUCUAACUUUGUAUCAUUAUCUGGUCAAAGGACAGUUUCAGGCGGGCAGUUUGACUGGGGCGGUCGCCUCCUAAACGGUAACGGAGGCGCACAAAGGUUUCCUCUGAACGGGUAGAAAUCGUAUCUAGAGUGUAAAGGCAUAAGGAAGCUUGACUGUGAGACCUACAAGUCGAGCAGGGACGAAAGUCGGUCUUAGUGAUCUGACGGUGCUGAGUGGAAAGGCCGUCACUCAACGGAUAAAAGUUACUCUAGGAUAACAGGCUGAUCUCCCCCAAGAGUUCACAUCGACGGGGAGGUUUGGCACCUCGAUGUCGGCUCAUCGCAUCCUGGGGCGGUAGUACGUCCCAAGGGUUGGGCUGUUCGCCCAUGAAAGCGGUACGCGAGCUGGGUUCAGAACGUCGUGAGACAGUUCGGUCCAUAUCCGGUGUAGGCGUUAGAAUAUUGAGAGGAGCCUUCUUUAGUACGAGAGGACCGAGAAGGACAUACCUCUGGUGUACCAGUUAUCGUGCCAACGGUAAACGCUGGGUAGCUAUGUAUGGAGUGGAUAACCGCUGAAAGCAUCUAAAUGGGAAGCCCACCUCAAGAUAAG